CGGACGAACGCUGGCGGCGUGGAUUAGGCAUGCAAGUCGGACGGUAGGGCGUUUAUCGUAAGAUAGAGUUUGAGAGUGGCGAACGGGUGAGUAACACGUAGGAAUCUACCCUUAAGACGGGGACAACCCAGGGAAACUUGGGCUAAUACCGGAUGAGAGUGCGAGAGAUUGCAUUUAAAAGGAUGGCGAAAGUUGUCGCUUAGGGAUGAGCCUGCGGUCUAUUAGUUAGUUGGUGAGGUAAGAGCUCACCAAGGCGAUGAUAGAUAGGCGGCCUUAACGGGUGGUCGCCCACACUGGGAUUGAGAUACGGCCCAGACUCCUACGGGAGGCAGCAGUGGGGAAUAUUGCACAAUGGGCGAAAGCCUGAUGCAGCGACGCCGCGUGAGGGAUGACGGCCUUCGGGUUGUAAACCUCUUUCAGCAGGGAAGAAGCGAAAGUGACGGUACCUGCAGAAGAAGCACCGGCUAACUACGUG
RNAcentral lists this ribosomal RNA (475 nucleotides) under uncultured bacterium. RNAcentral describes it as "bacterial SSU rRNA". It matches the Rfam family "Bacterial small subunit ribosomal RNA", at positions 27 to 507 of the family's 1533-position model. The record is from RNAcentral.